AGUGAACGCUGGCGGUAGGCCUAACACAUGCCAGUCGAACGGCAGCACAGUAAGAGCUUGCUCUUACGGGUGGCGAGUGGCGGACGGGUGAGGAAUACAUCGGAAUCUACUUUUUCGUGGGGGAUAACGUAGGGAAACUUACGCUAAUACCGCAUACGACCUACGGGUGAAAGCAGGGGAUCUUCGGACCUUGCGCGAUUGAAUGAGCCGAUGUCGGAUUAGCUAGUUGGCGGGGUAAGGCCCACCAAGGCGACGAUCCGUAGCUGGUCUGAGAGGAUGAUCAGCCACACUGGAACUGAGACACGGUCCAGACUCCUACGGGAGGCAGCAGUGGGGAAUAUUGGACAAUGGGCGCAAGCCUGAUCCAGCCAUACCGCGUGGGUGAAGAAGGCCUUCGGGUUGUAAAGCCCUUUUGUUGGGAAAGAAAAGCAGCAGGUUAAUACCCCGCUGUUCUGACGGUACCCAAAGAAUAAGCACCGGCUAACUUCGUG
This 491-nucleotide ribosomal RNA is filed under the name uncultured bacterium. RNAcentral's name for it is "partial 16S ribosomal RNA". It matches the Rfam family "Bacterial small subunit ribosomal RNA", at positions 29 to 507 of the family's 1533-position model. The record is from RNAcentral.